GGUUUGGGGGUCCCAGAGUUUGGAGGAUCCAAGGUUUUGGGGUCCCCAGAGGUUUCAGGGUCUCAAGGUUUUGGGGUCCCAGGGGUUUCAGGGUCCCCAGGGUUUGGGGUCCAAGAUUUGGGGUCACUGGUUUCAAAGUCCCAGUUUGAGGUCCCAGUUUGGAGUGGGUCCCAGUUUGGGGUCACUGGUUUCAGGGUCCCAGUUUGGGGUCCCAGUUUGGGGUGGUUCCCAGUUUGGGGGUCACUGGUUUCAGGUUCCCAGUUUGGGGUCCCAGUUUGGAGUGGGUCCCAGUUUGGGGGUCACUGGUUUCAGGGUCCCAGUUUAGGGUCCCAGUUUGCGGAUCCCAGUUUGGGGGUCACUGGUUUCAGUGUCCCCGUGUGGGGUGUUCCCAGUUCAGGGUCCCAGUUUGUCCCAGUUUGCCCCAGUACCUGCCAGGAAGGCAUAUACAUGGUGUCAGGCACUGGGCUCCCAGUUUGGGGGUUCCCAGUUUAGCAGGGUCACUGGUUUGGGGUGGGUUCCCAGUUUGCCAGGGUCACUGGUUUGGAGGGGAUUCCCAGUUUGUCCCAGUUUGCCCCAGUUUGCCCCAGUACCUGGCAGAAAGGCAUGAGGGUGGCACCAGGCACUGGGCUCCCAGUUUGGAGUCACUGGUUUGGGGGGGGGGGCUGGGUUUUGGGGUCCCAGUUUGGGGUCCCUGUAUGUCCCAGUUUGUCCCAGUUUAUCCCAG
Long non-coding RNA from Cuculus canorus (common cuckoo), 724 nucleotides. RefSeq lists it as uncharacterized. The transcript is spliced from 3 exons. The record is from RefSeq and is a predicted model, not a curated record. NCBI's taxonomy places the organism in Eukaryota, Metazoa, Chordata, Aves, Cuculiformes, Cuculidae.